GCUUUGAUGUGCGCUCAAGACUGGCUAUGGGAUAUGCUGAAUGGUGGAUCAAAAUUCGAUGGUGAAACAUUUUGGGAAGAAACUGAAGCAGACGAUGAGGUGAUCAACAUGGAGGAAGAUACUUGAUAAGAAAUAAUUAAGAACUAAAAUGAGUGAUGCUCGUUUAUAGACCAAUUUGUUUUUCUUUGCUUGUUUUACGAUGAAUUUAUGAGUUUGAAAUUUUAAAUUAUUAUUAUU
This is a long non-coding RNA of Papaver somniferum (opium poppy), 237 nucleotides long. RefSeq lists it as uncharacterized. The transcript is spliced from 2 exons. NCBI's taxonomy places the organism in Eukaryota, Viridiplantae, Streptophyta, Magnoliopsida, Ranunculales, Papaveraceae. The record is from RefSeq and is a predicted model, not a curated record.